Molecule: long non-coding RNA, 6590 nt
Filed under: Cicer arietinum (chickpea)
Lineage: Eukaryota; Viridiplantae; Streptophyta; Magnoliopsida; Fabales; Fabaceae
Description: long non-coding RNA (CARI_LNC001065)
Source: RNAcentral
GAUCACUUCAUUCGCAUUUUCUUUAUUCAUUAUUGAGUCCAAAUCACAAGAUGGAGAAAAGCAAAUGAAAAUAAGCUAAAAACUGAAUUGAUUUAAUUGUAAACUUUAAGCAUAAACAAUGUGUAUCAACAGUGUGAUUCAACCGAAGCCAAAACAAGUUGAGGUUCUUCCAUUGCAGAAUCGCAUGUUCCAUCAAUUGCAUUGUUCUUCCCCAAUACCUUCAAUGCUAAAUGAGCUGCCUUCUGCCCUGAUAUCAUCAUAGCUCCAAAUGUUGGACCCUACAAAAAUCACCAACAAAAGCGUGAUCACAUCUUAAUCAAAUGUUUCUUACCAUCUUCAAGUUAAUUGCACUAAAAUCAAUUAAUUUGCACUUGAAAAGAUCUAAAAAAAACCUGAUAUUAAUUUUCACAUUACUUUAAUCACUUCUUAAAUCAAAGAAGGUUCAAGAAACAACGAGCAACAACAUGUGAAGAGGUAAAAAAAAGGGUUGGAAAGAACAAGAUCAGCUACUAUUAGAAUUAGACAAAUGAUUAACGUGCCAAUUUGUACACAGAUGAAGAGCAGUGUCUUCCCUCCUCUUUUUUCACUUAAGAAAGGAAAAUUAGAGAGGUAAAUUAAAUUUCAAAGAUUAUUAUGGAAGCUCAAGCUUAUAAUUUAGUUUGAUGAAUAAGUUUGUUUGUUUUAUUUCUUUUAUUGGUUGGUUAUUAUUAUUAUUCCAACAAACUAUGUGUUGUUGCCUUUGGUGUAGAAUAGGUGUUAAUUUGGAUGGAUCUGAGAAAAUUAUUACAAUGUAAAUCCUGACUUGUAUAAUCAUUGGAUUGUGCAUGCAUUGCAUUGGAGUUGGCAUCAUCACUAAAGCCAAAAAUAUGUUUCUGCUUUGUCUGAAUAGCUGACCAAGAAGGAGGAGAUAUUUCACAUGAUAGAUGCAGAGUUGUUCUGCAUGUGAGUCCCACAUGAGCAUCUAACAUCCACAAACAUUUGAAUCAGAGGAUGCUAUAUCAAUUAUUAUCAAAUUAAUAUCUGUGAGUUUGUAAGAUUUUUCUAGGAAAACAUAAUAUAAAGACCAUAAUUUGAGUGUAUGCCUUUUGCCUUGCCCAAGUAAAUAUUUUUUUAAGAUGCCAAUUGCCAAGCAUUUGAUUUGAAACACAAAAGUUAUUAGUCAUGUGACAAGUUUAUUUUAUAUUAGCGGUGUAAAUAAUAAUAAUUUGUCCAUUCUUUUGGUCAUAUUUACGAGAAAAAAUAGAUCGAAUAAAAUUGAUGUAUUUAAUCUAAAAUUUGAAGAGAGUAUAUUUUUGUUGAGAUUUUUUUUAGAAGUUGAAUCUUGAGACUCACAGGUUAUAGUUGAGAGUUUCUUUGUGACUAUAACUAAUAGUAUAGGAUUGAAAGAAGUUUGAUACAUUAAUAUCAUAACAAAGUUUCAAGAAUAAAAGAAGCUAAUGAUUGGGAAGUAUGAAACACUAAAUUAGAAUCAACCUUUGUAUAGCACAAAGGGUUCGUUUUAGGGAUGGGGCAUAUAAACUAGGUGUGUUGAUAUUUAAAAUUAUGAUCAUUGGGAUGUGACUUAGCAAGGAAUAUUUUUGCCAAUCACUUUCAAUGACUUAUCUUUAAUCGCGAUUGGAAAUUAAAUCAUGUACAAAGACAUGUUUAGUCUGUCAGUUAUUUCAAUAGAUUAGACUCUACACCUGCAUAUACUUUAAUUUUUGUCAUAUUCCAUUCAAUACUCUCCGCUUCUUUUCCCUGUCAAUUUGAGGGUAUGGAAUGGAGUGGGAUUUCCCUAUUUUUUUUCUCUUUAAUUCUCCUCUUUAUUAUUAUAGUUUUGAGUUAUUUAAAGUUACCUAAUAUCACAUUAGCCGUUGCACUGUGUAGAAGUAGCAGGGGGUCCAUUUUCGAAAAUGGAGAGCAUAAAAAGUGAAAGAGGAUACAUUUCCGUGGAAUGUAAUCCAUACACUUUGCAUUCCAUUAUAAAAUUAUUCAAUACAAUGAUAGUUUUUUAUUCAAUUAUACUUCUUCUAUUCCAUUCCAUUUCAAUCUGAUAUUAAUAAACCUGAGUUUUCUAGCAUGAGACCGUUAUAAGUUUUUUCUUUUUUAAAAUACAUGUAGUACACUAAAACCAGAAUAUAAAACGAGUAUGAAAAACAAAAAACACCAAAAAGGCAUGAACUUUUUUAAUAAAAUAAUAAAUAAUGCCUAUACAAUGAUAACAGAACAUUCUAACUUUCAAGGAACUGAGAAUCAAAGUUGAAUGAAUCUGUUCCACCAAUCAGAAAGUACACUCCAAGUCAAAACAAUAAAUCUAUAUGCUCUUAUCAAGAGAAGGUUGAGUUGAAGUUCGACCUUCGGUUUUCGAGUUGAAAAUGAAGAAUUUCCACCAAAAUCAGAAUAAUCCAAGCACGCAAAAAAUCUUGACAAAAGGAAAGUCUUUAUCUCAAGGUGCUGGAGGUGACAAGAAACUAUUGCCGGAAGUUCUGUUGAUAAAUAUAUGCUUAAUAAGUCAGAAAACCAACAAUGGUAGAACUCAUGAUGUCAAGGAUAAAAUGUUUACUUAUUUACCUGAUGAUAAGUCCUGGUUUUCCAAUAAGAUUUGCUGGAAUUUGACCAGUCAAAUUGUUAUUUUGUAAAAAUCUGCUUACAACAAAGGAAGAGAAGAAAUUUAUGAGAACUGAAGGGUAACUAGCUGAUCUUCCACACACACUGGUAUUGCAGUGCAUUUACUGCCUCGUUUGAAGAUGUUGUCAUUCUAUUUUCAGGAAGUAAUCAAGAGAAAUAAUACUUAACCAACUAGAAGAAGCUUAUCUUUUAUUGACAAAUUUAUUAGAUUGAUUGGCAUCAAAGUAUGCAACAACUGAACAAUCAAUUCUCUUAUUUUUUCAAUAUUAUGCAUGUUUGGCUCUGAUGCUCCGUAAUCUAAACAAGUAUGGUAAGAUAAUAAGCAUGUAUUACUCAUAUAAUGAUACAACACAUAAGUAGAACUUACAUUUCUUUUAAGCUGCCAAUGUUCCCUAGGGAUGAUGAAAUCAAGAUCUUCUUGUUAGAGAGCUUGCUCAUCAGGAAAAAUGGAAAAGGUGUCCCAAAUGCAAAUUCUAUAUCAAAAAAUUUGAAGGCUGUUUGCAUAUCACAUGCAGUUAGUGAGUCGCAUUAUUAUGUUUUUAUACUGAUAUUAGGCGGCGUAAGUCAUCUUUGCAAAAUGAAACAGGAAGGAUGAGGGACCACUCUUUCAUAAGUGGUGCUCGAUAGAUGGGUUUUCAUAUGUUUUUAUAUAGAACUUAGAUCAUUCGAACAAAACUAGCUGCUAAAGCGAAGGGUUUAAGUUUUUGAGUCUAGUGAGUUUGCGAUAUCACUGUAAAACUACAUUGUGCUAACAUCCAACAACCACCCUUUAUUUUGGUAGUGUAAAAAUUCCAUGAUAUUUUAAAAUUAAUGGCUCUUAUUUACUGGUAGUGUAAAUUAAUGGCUCUUACAUCCACGAUCUAUUUUCUUUAGGUUUUUAUUUAUUAUUUUUGGAAAAGAAGAAAACCAUAUCAGGUAAGUCAGUUUUCUUCACAACUAUACAACUCUUUGUUUGGAAACAUAAGAAAAGGGAAGAAAAAAAUUGUUUGCAUUUUAAACAUGAUCAUGCAGUUUUUGAGUUUAUCAUCAAAAGGGUAAUUAUGUGUAAAAAAAAAUAGUGUAAAUUGUUUUUUUUUUUACUUGAAUUGUGAAUAAGAAUAAGCCGGUGGUGUUUAUUUGCAGGUGCCGAUUCGAAUUUUGCUAUGCUUGCGGUGAAAAAUGGACAUCUAACCAUAGUGAUUGCCAACGAAGCUAGAUAGAUUUGACAGGUUUAAUAAAGAAUGAUAGUGUAUAUGGAUAUCACUAUUAUUUCUGAUUUUCAUAAAGUAGGUAGUUUGUUGGUCGUCUUGACGUGGAUAUCACGAUUAUUAGCUAGUUUAGUAUGACGUUUUUUUUUAUGCUUGUAAGAAAAAAAUGUUGCAUGGUCCUUUUGAAAGUAUACAUGCUAAGUUGCUAUUGCUUAACAUGAAUCAUGCAUGUCUUGAUCUUACUCCUGUUCUUAUGUUUAUGUUGGUCUUACACUAUUCUUCUACCCAGUUGUUCACAUUAGAAUAAUCUUCUCGAGUUCUAACAUUUCCUUCUGUUAUUAAGAAUUGUAACAAAACCAGCAGUGACGCUAUAAUUGUCAGGCUGCAACUGGGCGUUAAGUUUCGCGCCUUUGCACUAAUGCACUGUCAAUUGGCAUAUCAUUAUGUGAUUUCCUGUCAAAUAAAUUUUCCGAAAUUUCUACUUAGUUUUGUUUUUUUUAUAAAAAGGAUCGGAUGCCAACUAGUAAUGUUUUGUGGCCGCCAUUUUUAGAGGAUGCCAUGAUAGGUCAUCACUCAAAUUAAGUGUUUCAAUAUAUUUCAGUUAUCUUAAUUUUAGUUUUGAUGAAAUAAUCGAUAUGGCACCGUAGAAGCUUUGACUCAUUACCUCUAGAAAAGGCUUUUGAACUGUGCAAAACUUUGCUGAAUACUGCCCCCUAUGCAAAACUGUGCUGAAUCAAUCAAUUAGCUAUGCUACUCCACUAUGACACCACUUGGAGUAUAAAACAAAAGAGACAUGUGUCCCAAUGUUGACGCCCAUGUGAAUGAUUUAAAUGUAAAAUUUUGUCUUAAACUUGAGUUUUCAACUCUAAAAAUUCAAUCAUUGUGUUUUCAAUAAAAAAAAUGUGCCCUUAAGACCCAUGUUAUGGCCCAAAACAAAAUGCUCUUAGUACUAGUUUCUUUUGGAUUACCCCAUCAGAGGUCAAAGCAUAACACCCCUUUAUUUCUAUUACAAUUUCUAUUCUCUUUAUUAAGCAUUCCUCACAUCAACUUUGAAAUGUACGACAAUAACAAUUACAAAGGCGACUAUAUUUUUUAAGGGGUCUCUUCCAAUAUUAAUCAAAUCAUGAUGCCUCAACAAAACAAUGGUGUCAGAGUUAUAACGGCUGGCAGAUGCAGAUGCAGCCGCAGAACUCUUUAGUUAUAACAAAGAUUUUCGGAAAAUAACACGUUUUGACAAAACUAUUUAGAGACAACAAAAUUAGGAUAUUCUAAGGGACUGUUUGUUCAACGGAGGGAGGCGGGAUUUUAAAAUCUUUUGUCUUUGGUUUAACGAGGGGAGGGAAGAGAUCUUAAUAGAGGGAUAGUGUAAAAUUACAUAUUCAACCAUUGUAAUAUUUAAGAUCACAUUAAAUAAAAGCCUACUUAAAUCCAAAUAUGAUAUAAAUACUUUCUCCCCUCUAGAUCCCCCCACUCUUGGAGGGGAGCUAAAAUUGGGAUUUGGCUCCCCUCCCCUCCCAACCAAACACAAUUGCAAGUAGUAAGCAACUCUGGACAUGGUUAUUUUUGGUCAACAGAAUUCUCUCCUCCAGAAGUGCUAAGUGGAUCAAAUUUUGGUCAGGAUAAGCAACUUAAUAGAGAUCUAUGGGUUUAACAAAACCCACUUGAUUUUCUCAUUCAUAGCUACACCCCAAACAUCGGACAAAUGGCUUUAUCUCUCUUGGACUUGCACAAAAAAACAAGUCUCUACAUAACCAGUUUUAAGGGCGCAACUUAAUACAUAACAAUCAACUUAACAGCAUAAAUUUCAGAAAUAAAAAUGACUGCAACACGAUCCAACUAACAUUACACUAACCAUAACAAGUCCAAACAAAAUGUACUCUAUUAUAAAAAUUCUUCAAUACUCAAAUUCCAGCUCAAAUCUGUGCCACUGCCACAAAAGGGCAAUGCCAAGCUACAUAUAAUCUCUGGCAAAAGUUCUAGCAUAACAUAAAACAUCCUUUUCUGUAAGAUUUAAAAUUACGGAAUGGAAAGAGUUUAACAAACCUCAAAAUUCAGUUCCAGCUAGAAGGACAAUACCCAUGAAUCCCAUAACCAGUCUUCCAAUUAUUCAAAUAAACAACCUAUUCAAAUAUACAACCCAUCACUUCAUUCGCAUUUUCUUUAUUCAUUAUUGAGUCCAAAUCACAGGCAGAAGAAAAGCAAAUGGAAAAUAAGCUAAAAACUAAAUCGAUUUAACUGGAAACUUUAAGCAUCAACAGUGUCCUCUAAUUCAACAGAAGCCAAAACAAGCUCAGGUUCUUCCCUUGCAGAAUCGCAUGUUCCAUCAAUUGCAUUGUUCCUCCCCAAUGCCUUCAAUGCCAAAUGAGCUGCCUUCUGCCCUGAUAUCAUCAUAGCUCCAAAUGUUGGACCCUACAAAAAUCAUCAACAAAAUCGUUAUCACAUCUUAGUCAAAUGUUUCUUACCAUUUUCAAAUUAAUUGCACUAAAACCAAUCAACUUGCAGUUGAAAAUAUAUAAAAAAAACCCUGAUCUUAAUUUCCACAUUACUUUAAUCACUACCUAAAUCAGAAUUGUACAAACAAGUCUAUAAACAAAAUAUUCUUCUCUUUGGUAGAUUAUAAACAAAAAUUCUUGUUCCUGCACAACAUUAACUCAAUAUAUUAUUACACAAAAUUGUCCAAGCCUACAUUAUUUACGCACACAUUAACUCCUAGAAUCAUGUUUUGUUAAAUCAAACAUGAUUUAACCAUAAAUUGUUGUUAAAUUUGACUCCAACUUUAGAAUUGAUUCCAAUCAC